This is a non-coding RNA of Pelobates cultripes (western spadefoot toad), 295 nucleotides long. The record is from the annotation of a GenBank genome assembly. Lineage: Eukaryota; Metazoa; Chordata; Amphibia; Anura; Pelobatidae.
GCUAGUAACAUGCUUUUAACAGUGCAUGAGAGGUUAAGUAGAUACGUGGUACACAAGCUUAAACAAAUCGGUUCUAUCACAAAUAUGGCACACUAGCUUAGUUAAAGAUGUCUGAAUCUGGGGUGCCAGGUUACUAUAUUGCAGGCUAUGAUAAUAUGCUAGCAAAAUUAUUAUGAAAUGCAAGUUGUAAAUACCCGUGAGGCCAAGUUCUGUGGCAAAGAUAACCAAGGCACCCCUACAGAAACAUAACAGCUUAAAGCACAUUAAAAUGAUGUGGCUUAAUAGGAGCCUAGUG